Molecule: long non-coding RNA, 214 nt
Filed under: Carica papaya (papaya)
Lineage: Eukaryota; Viridiplantae; Streptophyta; Magnoliopsida; Brassicales; Caricaceae
Description: long non-coding RNA (CPAP_LNC014001)
Source: RNAcentral
UUAUGCAUUUGAUUAUUUUAUUUGAUUUGAUUUACUUUAGCCCUACAUGUAAGCAACGGGUCAGUAAUUAAUUUAAUUAAAGACAAAUCUGAUGACAUUAAUCGACCAAACGUGUGUGCUAGAGCCUAAUUAAGGCCUAAGGCUAGGCGUAGCUGAUUAAUUAUUAGCUAAUAAAAUAUGAUUAAUGCUAUCAUAAUACAAGAAAGUAUAGUAU